This 767-nucleotide long non-coding RNA is filed under the name Homo sapiens (human). RNAcentral's name for it is "HSALNT0296077". Lineage: Eukaryota; Metazoa; Chordata; Mammalia; Primates; Hominidae. The record is from RNAcentral.
AUUUGCCUCUGUUCUACCGAGUGUUUGAAGUCAGAAGUCCUUAGUUUAACUGCUGUAAAACUUAACCUCCAAUCUUAAACUGGCAUUCAACAGAUACAAAGCAAUGCUACUCCGUUGGGAGUUGGCAGUCUAGUGAUGAUCUAUGAGCUUUUUGUUAUUGGCUUGUAAUGAGACAGGUAUAGAAACUAAAUUAUAUUUGUGUUACUUACCAGUGGUAAGCAACUAUUAUAAAAUUUGGUAUUACUGAAACAUACAAGCACAUAAUCAGACACAUUUUUGGAGCAGAAUAUAGAAUAGCUCAGGUGCUUUUCAUUUCGUUUUUCUAGUAGUUGAUUUUUAUCAUAUUUUACUGAAGUAUUGGCCUUCUAUGAAAUGUAAAAAGAAACUGGUUCUUUACUGCAGAUGAUUUGAGAAGCACUGAUGGAGAAGUCGAGUUCCUUAUUCAGAUAUUAAGCCAAUCUUACUCUUUCCAAUGUCAUCUUGGUGACCCAAUUGUGACAAGAAUGUCCAGAUACAGUUUGGUGUUGUGAACUGGUUGGCUUCCCCGUUUUGCAGAUAGAACUACAAAAAUAGAAUACACACUCAAUGGGCUGACCAACUGAUUCAUAACAUCUUUAUUGGAGAAUGAACUUUCUUUUUCUCUCCAGGCCCCCUGUAACCCCUGUCUGGUAUUUUCUACAUGACUGAUUCCUCUCUAGAGCCAGAACUAUGGAAUCUUAAGAGAAUCUGUAUUUCUUUAAAAAGAAUAAAUAUCUUAUGACACUCUU